GGGGCGGCGCGAGGACUCGGCGGCGGCCCCCUCCCCGCGGGCCCGGGAGCCGACGCCGGCUGGGGCCGCACCUCCGGGACCGGGCAGCGCGGCCGAGAAAUCGCCGGCUGGACAUCCAGAGCACCUAGCCUGUUUUUUUCUGCAUCUUGAAUUGAGCAUUAACAGGACUCUUGAAGGAAGUAGAA
Molecule: long non-coding RNA, 185 nt
Filed under: Canis lupus dingo (dingo)
Lineage: Eukaryota; Metazoa; Chordata; Mammalia; Carnivora; Canidae
Description: lncRNA (ENSCAFG00020015545.1)
Source: RNAcentral